Molecule: ribosomal RNA, 512 nt
Filed under: uncultured bacterium
Lineage: Bacteria
Description: bacterial SSU rRNA
Rfam family: Bacterial small subunit ribosomal RNA
Source: RNAcentral
GAUAUGGCUCAGGAUGAACGCUAGCUACAGGCUAACACAUGCAAGUCGAGGGGCAGCAGGAAUCUAGCUGCUAGAUUGCUGGCGACCGGCGCACGGGUGCGUAACACGUAUCCAAUCUACCCAUUGCUCAGGGAUAGCCUUGCGAAAGUAAGAUUAAUACCUGAUGGUCUCACGCCUCCGCAUGGCGGUGUGAGUAAAGAUUCAUCGGCGAUGGAUGAGGAUGCGUACGAUUAGGUAGUCGGCGGGGUAACGGCCCACCGAGCCUGCGAUCGUUAGGGGUUCUGAGAGGAAGGUCCCCCACACUGGAACUGAGACACGGUCCAGACUCCUACGGGAGGCAGCAGUGAGGAAUAUUGGUCAAUGGUCGAGAGACUGAACCAGACCCAAGUAGCGUGAGGGACGACUGCCCUAUGGGUUGUAAACCUCUUUUGUUUGGGAAUAAAGUGCCGUACGUGUACGGUUUUGUAUGUACCUUACGAAUAAGCAUCGGCUAAUUCCGUGCCAGCCGCCGC